UACGUAGGGUGCAAGCGUUGUCCGGAAUUAUUGGGCGUAAAGAGCUCGUAGGCGGUGUGUCGCGUCGGCCGUGAAAACCUGCAGCUUAACUGUGGGCUUGCGGUCGAUACGGGCAUCACUGGAGUUCGGCAGGGGAGACUGGAAUUCCUGGUGUAGCGGUGAAAUGCGCAGAUAUCAGGAGGAACACCGGUGGCGAAGGCGGGUCUCUGGGCCGUGACUGACGCUGAGGAGCGAAAGCAUGGGGAGCGAACAGG
RNAcentral lists this ribosomal RNA (254 nucleotides) under uncultured bacterium. RNAcentral's name for it is "partial 16S ribosomal RNA". It matches the Rfam family "Bacterial small subunit ribosomal RNA", at positions 524 to 776 of the family's 1533-position model. The record is from RNAcentral.